RNAcentral lists this transfer RNA (72 nucleotides) under Ornithorhynchus anatinus (platypus). It matches the Rfam family "tRNA". Rfam says of the family: Transfer RNA (tRNA) molecules are approximately 80 nucleotides in length. Lineage: Eukaryota; Metazoa; Chordata; Mammalia; Monotremata; Ornithorhynchidae. The record is from Rfam by way of RNAcentral.
AGCAGUGUGGCUUAGUGGAAAGAGCCUGGGCUUGGGAGUCAGAGGUCAUGAGCUCAAAUCCCAGCUCUGCCA